Molecule: long non-coding RNA, 451 nt
Organism: Cucumis sativus (cucumber)
Lineage: Eukaryota; Viridiplantae; Streptophyta; Magnoliopsida; Cucurbitales; Cucurbitaceae
Exons: 2
Source: RefSeq, a predicted model, not a curated record
UUCGAAAAUGUCAUCCAUCGUCGCUUCUCUAUACGAAAACUCCAUCCUUCUUUAUUUAGAGAUUAGAAAUUAAUUCUCAUUCACGUAUGAAGAUAUCUUGAUUUGUGAUUUGAACCUUUUGUAUUUGUAUAGAAGCGACGUAUUGCUCAUGGUGCUUUGGGUUUUUUUGGGUUAGAAAUUUGAACCUCACGCAUGAAGAGGUUAGAAAUUAAUUCCUCUUCCCUCUUCACGUAUAAAGUUGGGGAAAGUCCAUAUAUCACAUGGUGCUUUGGGUUCUCCUUACAAAUCCAAUGGAGUUGAUGAUUGAUAUGAGAAGAUACAGAUUGAUAGAAGGAGAUAUGGCUUAUAAGGGACCGUAUUUUCCCUACUGUCACACAGUAGAUGACCGUGAGGGAUACUCUAAACUCUGCACUUGAUGAAGAAAUGUCUGUUGAUCAAAAAAAAAAAAAAA